RNAcentral lists this ribosomal RNA (462 nucleotides) under uncultured bacterium. Its description in RNAcentral is "partial 16S ribosomal RNA". It matches the Rfam family "Bacterial small subunit ribosomal RNA", at positions 28 to 507 of the family's 1533-position model. The record is from RNAcentral.
GAUAAACGCUGGCGGCGUGCUUAACACAUGCAAGUCGAACGAAGUUUUUCUUUCGGGAGGAAAUUAGUGGCGGACGGGUGAGUAACGCGUGGGUAACCUGCCCUGUACAGGGGGACAACAGCUGGAAACGGCUGCUAAUACCGCAUAAGCCCUUAGCACUGCAUGGUGCAUAGGGAAAAGGAGCAAUCCGGUACAGGAUGGACCCGCGUCUGAUUAGCCAGUUGGCAGGGUAACGGCCUACCAAAGCGACGAUCAGUAGCCGAUCUGAGAGGAUGUACGGCCACAUUGGGACUGAGACACGGCCCAGACUCCUACGGGAGGCAGCAGUGGGGAAUAUUGCACAAUGGAGGAGACUCUGAUGCAGCGAGGCCGCGUGAGUGAAGAAGUAUUUCGGUAUGUAAAGCUGUAUCAACAGGAAAGAAAAUGACGGUACCUGACUAAGAAGCACCGGCUAAAUACGUG